RNAcentral lists this ribosomal RNA (448 nucleotides) under uncultured bacterium. RNAcentral describes it as "bacterial SSU rRNA". It matches the Rfam family "Bacterial small subunit ribosomal RNA", at positions 29 to 507 of the family's 1533-position model. The record is from RNAcentral.
AUUGAACGCUGGCGGCAUGCCUAACACAUGCAAGUCGAACGGGAUCCUGGUUUCGGCCAGGUGAGAGUGGCGGACGGGUGAGUAACACGUGGGAAUCUGCCUUUUGGUUCGGGAUAACCGCGGGAAACUGCGGCUAAUACCGCAUAAGCCUGUGAGGGGAAAGUCGAAAGACGCUGAGAGAGGAGCCCGCGGCCGAUUAGCUAGUUGGUGGGGUAAAGGCUCACCAAGGCAAAGAUCGGUAGCCGGCCUGAGAGGGCACACGGCCACACUGGCACUGAAACACGGGCCAGACUCCUACGGGAGGCAGCAGUGGGGAAUCUUGCACAAUGGGGGAAACCCUGAUGCAGCGACGCCGCGUGCACGAAGAAGGCCCUCGGGUUGUAAAGUGCUUUUGGCAGGGAACAAUAUUAUGAGCGUACCUGCAGAAUAAGUGGUUGCUAACUCUGUG